RNAcentral lists this unclassified non-coding RNA (314 nucleotides) under fungal sp. Its description in RNAcentral is "partial internal transcribed spacer region". The stretch from base 1 to 46 matches the Rfam family "Eukaryotic small subunit ribosomal RNA", at positions 1786 to 1831 of the family's 1831-position model. Lineage: Eukaryota; Fungi. The record is from RNAcentral.
AAGUCGUAACAAGGUCUCCGUAGGUGAACCUGCGGAGGGAUCAUUAACACUAUAUACAAAGUAGAUCGUUGACUUCAAAAAUCAACUUUCUCACUUUUGUUAUACCAACUCGUGAACGAAACAUUAUGUAUCUCUCGCUUAGCUUUGUAAUAUAAGCUAAGUUAUGUUUUUAUUGUAUUUUCUUUAUACAAACUAACAUCUUCAACAGUAUAACUUGUACCACAUAGAAUGCAUUCUUAGAGUGUAUUUUUAUGGAGUGUUACUUUUAGUUAACAAAAUAAGCACAACUCUUAGCAACGGAUAUCUCGGUUCUC